RNAcentral lists this ribosomal RNA (253 nucleotides) under uncultured bacterium. RNAcentral's name for it is "partial 16S ribosomal RNA". It matches the Rfam family "Bacterial small subunit ribosomal RNA", at positions 524 to 776 of the family's 1533-position model. The record is from RNAcentral.
UACGAAGGGAACUAGCGUUGUUCGGAUUUACUGGGCGUAAAGAGCAUGUAGGCGGAUUGGUCAGUUGGGGGUGAAAGCCCGGAGCUCAACUCCGGAACGGCCUUCAAUACUGCCAGUCUAGAGUCUGUAAGGGGGUGGUGGAAUUCCGAGUGUAGAGGUGAAAUUCGUAGAUAUUCGGAGGAACACCAGUGGCGAAGGCGACCACCUGGUACAGUACUGACGCUGAGAUGCGAAAGCGUGGGGAGCAAACAGG